GCAAUUAUUAACAUGAAAUCAAACCCACAUGGGACCCUUGAAUUUACAGUCCUUAAUUCAAUCAACAAUCAGGCAUAUAAGCUAAUGAUAAUCAAAUGCAAAACAGUAACUCGGGAAAAUAAAAGAAAAACGAAACCGGAAAAUGCUCAACAACCCAAAUUCUCUAGCUAGCUACAAUGUCUGUCACCUCUUGAUGAUAACUAACCUGAAGAUGAUGGGAAACUGAACUAAUACAGCCUUGAGAAUCAGUCAUUUUCUUAGAAGGGAGGUCGCCCACUGGCCCAGUAUGCCUCCGUUGGUAACUGAAUAGAAUUGAGGAGAUUAGGCUGCAAUCCAUGAAAGAGCUGCACGUUUGCCUCUCCCAAAACCUGCUGCUGCUGUUGCUGCUGAACAACCGCUCCUGGCGACCCAAUUGCACCCCCUUGCAUAGGUAGCUGUGGAUCCUCCUCUUCUAAAGGAAGCCUCUCAUAAGCAGCGUUACUAAAUGAAGCAGCCAUAAUCACAACAGGACCUGCAGCAGUAAGUGUACCGACAACACUCCCACCCACCACUUGCCCUUGUCCUCCAGCUAAAUAUAUGGUCAAGCCCGUAGCAGCAGGCGGAGCAGGCGGUGGCAGGAAGGACCCAGAUAGUGAUAAUAUCUCGAAUCUACCAUGUAAGGUCACAACUGCACCUGGCGAAGCUGGUUGUCUCAGAGUUACAUUGGUUACUGUUCCAGUUCCACUCAUAAUGGAAAUCCCUCUUUGCCUCCUCCUAGCAAAUGUGGCUACACUUUCAACAAUAUCACAACCAUCGGUAACCUCCAUCAGGUGAGUGCGCAGAGCGUUGGCGCUAUCGCGGGCGAUGAUGAUUGGGGGCUUAGCCUUGUUCUUGGAUCCGGCGGGUCUGCCUCUGGGUCUUCUAUUGAUCUCUCCUCCACCUGGGCCAGCAGGGAUCAGUUCUCUGCCUUCGCUGUUGUUAUUGCUAGUUUCAUCGCGUUCUCGUUUCUGGGACUUGUUAAGGCCGGCGCCGCUACUACUGCCGCUUUGUUCAUCUUCUGAGUUGUGCUGCUGAUGAUGGGGAAAUUGGUGCUGGUGUAACUGGAAAUCUCUGGUGUGGAAUGGAGGAGGAAGAGAAUGGCCAUGAGCCGUUAUUGGAUCCAUAUUCUUGCCUUUUUGUUUUCCUUUGACUUUAAUUACCUCUUUCUUUAAGUACCUAAAAACAGCCCUAUUCACUUAUACAAGACCUAAGCGGGUAGAGAGACGACCCAAGAACUAAUGGAAACACAAAAAGUAGCACUAAACGUUAACGUUUAUGGAGGUGAUUCUAAAGGAAACGGGUAUAGUGGGAGCAGAGAGAAAAAAAAGAAACAAAGAAGAAGAAGAAGAAGACUUGUUAAAUUUUCUUUGGGUAAUGAAGUUGGGGUAAUAGCUAGCGAGGCCUCAACAAGAAAGGAAACAUGGGUGGAUUUUUGGUGUCAGCCACCAAAUUGUGAGCAGAAUUCAGCAUAAGCAGUGGCGUUGUGUUGGUUAAGUAUUAGGAGAGA
RNAcentral lists this unclassified non-coding RNA (1525 nucleotides) under Hevea brasiliensis (rubber tree). Lineage: Eukaryota; Viridiplantae; Streptophyta; Magnoliopsida; Malpighiales; Euphorbiaceae. The record is from RNAcentral.